Molecule: ribosomal RNA, 305 nt
Filed under: uncultured bacterium
Lineage: Bacteria
Description: bacterial SSU rRNA
Rfam family: Bacterial small subunit ribosomal RNA
Source: RNAcentral
UGCUCCUACGGGACGCAGCAGUGGGGAAUAUUGCACAAUGGGGGAAACCCUGAUGCAGCGACGCCGCGUGAAGGAAGAAGUAUUUCGGUAUGUGAACGUCUAUCAGCAGGGAAGAAAAUGACGGUACCUGACUAAGAAGCCCCGGCUAACUACGUGCCAGCAGCCGCGGUAAUACGUAGGGGGCAAGCGUUAUUCGGAUUUACUGGGUGUAAAGGGAGCGUAGGCGGUUUAGCAAGUCAGAAGUGAAAGCCCGGGGCUCAACUCCGGGACUGCUUUUGAAACUGUUGAACUAGAUUGCAGGUGAG